This 468-nucleotide ribosomal RNA is filed under the name uncultured bacterium. RNAcentral describes it as "partial 16S ribosomal RNA". It matches the Rfam family "Bacterial small subunit ribosomal RNA", at positions 28 to 507 of the family's 1533-position model. The record is from RNAcentral.
GAUGAACGCUGGCGGCGUGCUUAACACAUGCAAGUCGAACGGAAAGGCGCUAAGCUUGCUUGUCUCUCGUUUGCCGAACGGGUGAGAGACACGUGAGUAUCCCCCCCUUGUCUUAGUGAUAACACCAGGAAACAGGGGCUCUAAUCCCGUAUGAUCUCCUGCACCACGGUGGUGGUUGGAAAGAUACGGCGGUUGGGGAUCGUCUCGAGGCUUAUCCGCUUCUUGGUGUGGUAGUUGCUUACCAGGGCUUCGACGGGUAGCCGGCCUGAGAGGGUUACCGGCCACAUUGGGACUGAGAUACGGCCCAGACUCCUACGGGAGGCAGCAGUGGGGAAUAUUGCACAAUGGGCGGAAGCCUGAUGCAGCAACGCCGCGUGCGGGAUGACGGGCUUCGGGUUGUGAACCGCUUUCGCCUGUGACGAAGCGUGAGUGACGGUAAUGGGUAAAGAAGCACCGGCUAACUACGUG